This 689-nucleotide ribosomal RNA is filed under the name Boletellus brunoflavus. RNAcentral's name for it is "partial large subunit ribosomal RNA". It matches the Rfam family "Eukaryotic large subunit ribosomal RNA", at positions 76 to 763 of the family's 3401-position model. Lineage: Eukaryota; Fungi; Basidiomycota; Agaricomycetes; Boletales; Boletaceae. The record is from RNAcentral.
UCCCCUAGUAACUGCGAGUGAAGCGGGAAAAGCUCAAAUUUUGAAUCUGGCGGUCGUUCGGCCGUCCGAGUUGUAAUCUAGAGAAGCGUCUUCCGCGCUGGACCGUGUACAAGUCUCCUGGAAGGGAGCGUCGUAGAGGGUGAGAAUCCCGUCUUUGACACGGACUGCCAGUGCUAUGUGAUGCGCUCUCGACGAGUCGAGUUGUUUGGGAAUGCGGCUCAAAAUGGGUGGUAAAUUCCAUCUAAAGCUAAAUACAGGCGAGAGACCGAUAGCGAACAAGUACCGAGAGGGAAAGAUGAAAAGAACUUUGGAAAGAGAGUUAAACAGUACGUGAAAUUGCUGAAAGGGAAACGCUUGAUGUCAGUCGCGUCGGCCGGGGAUCAACCUUGCUUCUCGCUGGGUGCACUUCCUGGUCGAUGGGUCAGCAUCAGUUUCGGUCGUCGUACAAUGGCAAAGGGAACGUGGCACUCUUCGGAGUGUGUUAUAGCCUUUCGUCGUAUGCGGCGGUCGGGACUGAGGAACUCGGCACGAUCUUCGGAUUUGUGUCUAGGAUGCUGGCAUAAUGGCCUUAAGCGACCCGUCUUGAAACACGGACCAAGGAGUCUAACAUGCCUGCGAGUGUUCGGGUGGCAAACCCGAGCGCACAACGAAAGUGAAAGUCGAGACCUCUGUCAUGGAGGGCAUCGACG